UCCCAGCAGUUCAAGUCGCAACCAACAUUAUUGGGUCUAAAACAUCCGUAGUUUGCUUGGUAAGUUUCUUGUGAAAUUUCACAUCUCAAGUGUGGAGCGUGCAAGGAGUACUACUAAGCUAGAGAUCGGUAGGUGUAAGAAGUACAUUCAAGGUAGUGGUAAAAUAUGUUAAUCUUGGAUGGACUCACAAUUAGCGAAGGCAUCUUACAAGGACGAAUCUGACAGUGAGGGAUGAAGGCCAAGGGCGCAAAAG
RNAcentral lists this ribosomal RNA (253 nucleotides) under uncultured archaeon. RNAcentral's name for it is "partial 16S ribosomal RNA". It matches the Rfam family "Archaeal small subunit ribosomal RNA", at positions 474 to 725 of the family's 1478-position model. The record is from RNAcentral.